This 220-nucleotide long non-coding RNA is filed under the name Helianthus annuus (common sunflower). RNAcentral describes it as "sRNA HanXRQr2_Chr17g0809691". Lineage: Eukaryota; Viridiplantae; Streptophyta; Magnoliopsida; Asterales; Asteraceae. The record is from RNAcentral.
UCUCUAAGUGGAAGUAUAUGCUUCCUACCUGAGAGAGAAUCGGGUUCAAAUCUUGCGGGGACCUUCUAUAACGGGACGGGUGUAAUGUGAUGAAAACAUGGUGCCGUUUGAUUCCGGGACUCCUCUAGCUUGCUUGGUAGUUGCUCAAGACUUCUAAGCACUCUCAAGUACUGCUCUGUGAUGAUUGAUGAUAUAUGCUACACUUAGGAUGGACUCGUGC